Molecule: ribosomal RNA, 449 nt
Filed under: uncultured bacterium
Lineage: Bacteria
Description: partial 16S ribosomal RNA
Rfam family: Bacterial small subunit ribosomal RNA
Source: RNAcentral
GUCGAGAAUUUUUCUCAAUGGGGGAAACCCUGAAGGAGCGACGCCGCGUGGGGGAUGAAGGGCUUCGGCUCGUAAACCCCUGUCAUUUGUGAGCAAGUGUAUUGUUUAAGAGAUGAUGACAUUGAUAGUAGCAAAAGAGGAAGGGACGGCUAACUCUGUGCCAGCAGCCGCGGUAAUACAGAGGUCCCAAGCGUUGUUCGGAAUCACUGGGCGUAAAGGGUGCGUAGGCGGUAUGGUAAGACUUGGGUGAAAUCUCCAUGCUUAACGGGGAGGGAGCCUGGGAGACUGCCGUGCUAGAGGAUUGGAAGGGAGACUGGAAUUCUUGGAGUAGCAGUGAAAUGCGUAGAUAUCAAGAGGAACACCAGUGGCGAAGGCGAGUCUCUGGACAAGACCUGACGCUGAGGCACGAAGGCCAGGGGAUCAAACGGGAUUAGAUACCCUAGUAGUCC